GUGAGCGUAGCUCAGCUGGUAGAGCUCCGGAUUGUGGAUCCGGCGGUCGUGGGUUCGAGUCCCAUCGCUCACCCCA
This 76-nucleotide transfer RNA is filed under the name Chromatiales bacterium. RNAcentral describes it as "tRNA-His". It matches the Rfam family "tRNA". Rfam says of the family: Transfer RNA (tRNA) molecules are approximately 80 nucleotides in length. Their secondary structure includes four short double-helical elements and three loops (D, anti-codon, and T loops). The record is from RNAcentral. Lineage: Bacteria; Pseudomonadati; Pseudomonadota; Gammaproteobacteria; Chromatiales.